UUAAGUCUCGGAUGUUCGCUAGCUUUCAACUAUGUCUAACCUACAUUACUUACAGGGAAUCCGAAUUGAUUUCGCCGGAUGUUGGAUCGCCUAAGAGCGAAGAACAGAAAGCGGACUUAGGGCACCCACCUGCCACACGCAGGUUUUAGACAUAAGAAAGUACCGGCAUCUUGGACUCUUC
RNAcentral lists this non-coding RNA (181 nucleotides) under Selenomonadaceae bacterium. RNAcentral's name for it is "6S RNA". It matches the Rfam family "6S / SsrS RNA". Rfam says of the family: E. coli 6S RNA was the first non coding RNA to be sequenced, but its function was unknown until recently. The record is from RNAcentral. Lineage: Bacteria; Bacillati; Bacillota; Negativicutes; Selenomonadales; Selenomonadaceae.